GUCCCCUUCGGGGGACAAGUAGAGUGGCGCACGGGUGAGUAACACGUAGGUAAUCUACCUUCGGAUGGGGAAUAACAACCGGAAACGGUUGCUAAUACCGCAUAAUGCAGCGGCACCUAAUGGUGACAGUUGUUAAAGCGGGGGAUUGAAAGACCUCGCGUCUGAAGAGGAGCCUGCGGCGGAUUAGCUAGUUGGUAGGGUAACGGCUUACCAAGGCUACGAUCCGUAGCCGGCCUGAGAGGGCGGUCGGCCACACUGACACUGACAUACGGGUCAGACUCCUACGGGAGGCAGCAGUCGGGAAUUUUGGGCAAUGGGCGAAAGCCUGACCCAGCAACGCCGCGUGAAGGAUGAAAUCCCUCGGGAUGUAAACUUCGCAAGAACGGGAAGAAUAAGUAGGGGACAAUACCCCCUAUGAUGACGGUACCGUUUGUAAGCUCCGGCUAACUCCGUGCCAGCAGCCGCGGUAAUACGGGGGGAGCAAGCGUUGUUCGGAUUUACUGGGCGUAAAGGGCGCGGUAGGCGGCCUCCGCAAGUCAAUUGUGAAAUCUCCGAGCUUAACUCGCAAAGGUCAACUGAUACUGCGGGGCUAGAGUGCGCCAAGGGGCAACUGGAAUUCUUGGUUGUAGCGGUGAAAUGCGUAUGAUAUCAAGAGGAACACCGUGCGACUGAAGGCGGGUUGCUGGGCCGACACUGACGCUGAGGC
This 706-nucleotide ribosomal RNA is filed under the name uncultured bacterium. RNAcentral's name for it is "bacterial SSU rRNA". It matches the Rfam family "Bacterial small subunit ribosomal RNA", at positions 73 to 752 of the family's 1533-position model. The record is from RNAcentral.